CGCGUAGGACGGUUUGGUAAGUCGGAUGUGAAAGCCCCGGGCUUAACCUGGGAAUUGCAUUCGAUACUGCUUGACUAGAGUAUGGUAGAGGGAAGUGGAAUUCCAGGUGUAGCGGUGAAAUGCGUAGAUAUCUGGAGGAACAUCAGUGGCGAAGGCGACUUCCUGGACCAAUACUGACGCUGAGGUGCGAAAGCGUGGGAAGCAAACA
RNAcentral lists this ribosomal RNA (208 nucleotides) under uncultured bacterium. RNAcentral describes it as "partial 16S ribosomal RNA". It matches the Rfam family "Bacterial small subunit ribosomal RNA", at positions 568 to 774 of the family's 1533-position model. The record is from RNAcentral.